UGGGGAAUAUUGCGCAAUGGGCGAAAGCCUGACGCAGCGACGCCGCGUGAGGGAUGAAGGUCUUCGGAUCGUAAACCUCUGUCAGCAGGGAAGAACGGUCACUGUGCUAAUCAGCAGUGAAUUGACGGUACCCGCAAAGGAAGCACCGGCUAACUCCGUGCC
Molecule: ribosomal RNA, 162 nt
Filed under: uncultured bacterium
Lineage: Bacteria
Description: partial 16S ribosomal RNA
Rfam family: Bacterial small subunit ribosomal RNA
Source: RNAcentral